CGAAGCGCGGCCGGUUGCCCUGAUAGGCAGCGGCGACGUCGUCCGGAACG
Molecule: small RNA, 50 nt
Filed under: Sinorhizobium meliloti 2011
Lineage: Bacteria; Pseudomonadati; Pseudomonadota; Alphaproteobacteria; Hyphomicrobiales; Rhizobiaceae
Description: putative ncRNA
Source: RNAcentral